GAAAGUAAGCAAGGGCAGACGGUGGAUGCCUUGGCUCUCGGAGGCGACGAAGGACGUGAUAAGCUGCGAAAAGCCCGGGGGAGGCGCAAAUAGCCCUUGAUCCCGGGAUAUCCGAAUGGGGCAACCCGGCAGGCUGAAGGCCUGCCAUCCCGAAAGGGAGGCGAACGUGGGGAACUGAAACAUCUAAGUACCCAUAGGAGGAGAAAAUAAACAAUGAUUCCGUAAGUAGUGGCGAGCGAACACGGAAGAGCCCAAACCCAUGUCGUCUAGGCGACACGGGGGUUGUAGGACCACGACGUGGCAAGAUAGAGUCAAGUGGAACGCCUUGGAAAAGGCGGUCAUAGAGGGUGAAAACCCCGUACACGACUGACGAUUGAAGCCUAGUGGCAUCCUGAGUAGCGCGGGGCACGAGAAAUCUUGCGUGAAUUAGCGGGGCCCAUCCCGUAAGGCUAAAUACUCCCGAGAGACCGAUAGCGAACCAGUACCGUGAGGGAAAGGUGAAAAGAACCCCGAGCAGGGGAGUGAAAUAGACCCUGAACCCGUCUGCCUACAAGCGGUCGGAGCGUCGUAAUGACGUGACGGCGUGCCUUUUGCAUAAUGAACCUACGAGUUACCUUCCCCGGCAAGGUUAAGUUCUUGAGGAACGGAGCCGAAGCGAAAGCGAGUCUGAACAGGGCGCCAAGUCGGGGGGGGUAGACGCGAAACCGAGUGAUCUACCCUUGGCCAGGUUGAAGGUUGGGUAACACCAACUGGAGGACCGGAUGGGUAAGCGUUGAAAAGCUUUCCAAUGAGCUGAGGGUAGGGGUGAAAGGCUAAUCAAACUCGGAGAUAGCUCGUACUCCCCGAAAUGCAUUUAGGUGCAGCCUCUUUAUAGUAUAUCGUGAGGUAGAGCGACUGAUUGGAUGCGAGGGCUUCACCGCCUAUCAAGUCCAGAUAAACUCCGAAUGCGCGAUAUAUAUUUACAGGGAGUGAGGGCGCGGGUGCUAAGGUCCGUGUCCGAGAGGAGAAGAAUCCAGACCACCGGCUAAGGCCCCCAAAUGAUCGUUAAGUUGAACUAACGAGGUCGGAUCGCAGAGACAGCUAGGAUGUUGGCUUGGAAGCAGCCAUUCAUUUAAAGAGUGCGUAACAGCUCACUAGUCGAGCGAUCUGGCGUGGAUAAUAAUCGGGCAUAAACGAUCUGCCGAAGCCGUGGAUGUCGCAAGACAUGGUAGGGGAGCAUUCCAUGCCGCGUCGAAGAUGAGGGAUGACCCUUGUUGGAGCGCAUGGAAAAGCAAAUGUAGGUAUGAGUAACGAUAAGGGGGGCGAGAAACCCCCCCGCCGAAAGACCAAGGUUUCCUGAUCAACGCUAAUCGGAUCAGGGUGAGUCGGGACCUAAGGCAAAGCCGAACGGCGCCGCCGAUGGAAGAAUGGGUUAAUAUUCCCAUACUGCCUCAUGGAGUGACGUGGAGACGGAGAAGUGACAGUCCUGCCGGCUGACGGAAUAGCCGGUUGAAGGGUGUAGAUAUUGAUUCCCGUAGGCAAAUCCGCGGGGAGAGUCGAACCUGAGAGUAUACGGAGCGCUUGCGCAACGUAAUAUGGACGUAACCAUGCUCCCGAGAAAAUCCGCUAAACUUAUCCAUGCGGCACCCGUACCGUAAACGGACACACGUGGUCGGGUUGAGAAUACUGAGGCGCUCGAGUGAUUCACGGUUAAGGAACUAGGCAAAUUGACCCUGUAACUUCGGGAUAAAGGGUCCUCGUCGUAAGGCGAGGCGCAGAGAAUAGGUCCAGGCAACUGUUUAACAAAAACACAUGGCUGUGCUAAAUGGAAACAUGAUGUAUACAGCCUGACACCUGCCCGGUGCCGGAAGGUUAAGAGGAGAUGUCAUCCGCGAGGAGAAGCGUUGAAUUGAAGCCCCGGUAAACGGCGGCCGUAACUAUAACGGUCCUAAGGUAGCGAAAUUCCUUGUCGGGUAAGUUC
Molecule: ribosomal RNA, 1960 nt
Filed under: human gut metagenome
Description: bacterial LSU rRNA
Rfam family: Bacterial large subunit ribosomal RNA
Source: RNAcentral